CAUGCUAGUCGAACGGUAACAGGAAGCAGCUUGCUGCUUUGCUGACGAGUGGCGGACGGGUGAGUAAUGUCUGGGGAUCUGCCCGAUGGAGGGGGAUAACCACUGGAAACGGUGGCUAAUACCGCAUAACGUCGCAAGACCAAAGUGGGGGACCUUCGGGCCUCACACCAUCGGAUGAACCCAGAUGGGAUUAGCUAGUAGGUGGGGUAACGGCUCACCUAGGCGACGAUCCCUAGCUGGUCUGAGAGGAUGACCAGCCACACUGGAACUGAGACACGGUCCAGACUCCUACGGGAGGCAGCAGUGGGGAAUAUUGCACAAUGGGCGCAAGCCUGAUGCAGCCAUGCCGCGUGUAUGAAGAAGGCCUUCGGGUUGUAAAGUACUUUCAGCGGGGAGGAAGGGAUGGCGCUUAAUACGCGCCGUCAUUGACGUUACCCGCAGAAGAAGCACCGGCUAACUCCGUGCCAGCAGCCGCGGUAAUACGGAGGGUGCAAGCGUUAAUCGGAAUUACUGGGCGUAAAGCGCACGCAGGCGGUCUGUUAAGUCAGAUGUGAAAUCCCCGGGCUUAACCUGGGAACUGCAUUUGAAACUGGCAGGCUUGAGUCUCGUAGAGGGGGGUAGAAUUCCAGGUGUAGCGGUGAAAUGCGUAGAGAUCUGGAGGAAUACCGGUGGCGAAGGCGGCCCCCUGGACGAAGACUGACGCUCAGGUGCGAAAGCGUGGGGAGCAAACAGGAUUAGAUACCCUGGUAGUCCACGCCGUAAACGAUGUCGACUUGGAGGCUGUUUCCUUGAGAAGUGGCUUCCGGAGCUAACGCGUUAAGUCGACCGCCUGGGGAGUACGGCCGCAAGGUUAAAACUCAAAUGAAUUGACGGGGGCCCGCACAAGCGGUGGAGCAUGUGGUUUAAUUCGAUGCAACGCGAAGAACCUUACCUGGUCUUGACAUCCACGGAAUUCGGCAGAGAUGCCCUAGUGCCUUCGGGAACCGUGAGACAGGUGCUGCAUGGCUGUCGUCAGCUC
RNAcentral lists this ribosomal RNA (1018 nucleotides) under Mixta calida. RNAcentral describes it as "bacterial SSU rRNA". It matches the Rfam family "Bacterial small subunit ribosomal RNA", at positions 54 to 1061 of the family's 1533-position model. Lineage: Bacteria; Pseudomonadati; Pseudomonadota; Gammaproteobacteria; Enterobacterales; Erwiniaceae. The record is from RNAcentral.